This is a long non-coding RNA of Homo sapiens (human), 1577 nucleotides long. Ensembl annotates it as long intergenic non-protein coding RNA 702. The record is from Ensembl. NCBI's taxonomy places the organism in Eukaryota, Metazoa, Chordata, Mammalia, Primates, Hominidae.
GAUCUUGACAGUUCACGUAACAUUCAAUCAAUUAUACCAUUGCUCUAUCUCUAAAGUUUUCUUUUUCUCCUUUUCUCAGUGUCUUACCAAGAAUGAAAGGCAACCUAUGUAAAAACUAUGGGCUUUCUAGUAUAAAUAAAAACUACUCAUCUCCAGAAAAUAAACAAUGACUGCUAAGAUGAUUGAAAAAAGAAAGGAGAAGAAAGUAGCUUGUAAAAGCGUGUGAAAUGCAUUCACGUUGGAAUCUCCUACAGGCACUUCAGUGUGGAUCAGCCUGACUUCAAUCCAUCUGUGCUUCCCAGGGCCGACUCCUGAAUUCCUCCUCCAUGCCAUCAUACCUUAUUGGCUCUCCUGCUGUUACGUUCAGUCAUAAUGUUAAAAACUCAGACUAUUAAAAUGUAAAGAUAUGAAUUCUUUUUGAAAUUGUCAACAUGGAAGAGUCUAUCUACAGUCUGCUUUUAAUUUAGCCGCAAAAUGACUUAGCUGAUGCAACAAUUUCACAUGCUGAGGAAGAGUUUUCGAUUGCCGAAUUAGUGUGAUAAAGUGAUGGUGAGGUUUUCUGUUGACUCUGGAAGCAACAACAAAAAUGGUGGUGCUCUUCUCCAUACCCAUGUUCAUAGAUAUAUCGUUACAGAUGACACUCAAACUUUGAUUUUUUUUCUUUUUUGGCUGACUGCUUGAAACACAUGUAGCCCCAGGAAACAAGUAGAGCCACCCCAGGGAACUAAAAAACAAGUGAGUAACCGAAGACUCUAAACCAUGUGCAGUAGAAAUCCUUGACUCUUGUUACAGAGAUGCCUGGAGGUUAAUCCACAUGACAGGGAUGAAUUAUCUAUUGAUGGGAUAUUUUUAAAAUAUCACCCAAAAGUUUGUAAGCAUAUACAUAAAAUUAAUUCAAAUAAUUUAAUGUGAAAGCUGAAGAAUGAAUCAGUAAAUUUUAAGAAAAAAGUAAACCCAGAUAAUAAGACAAAUUGUAGAUAAGAACAAUCACAAAUUGUUGAUUCUAACAUGCAGUUUUCUACUGCUUAAAACCCUUUGAAGUCUUAACCAAAUACACUGUCACCAUUUUUAUAAACUCAUUUAUUGUGAACCAUUUAUUAAUUGAUACACAAGCACACACUUUUUAGAGGUAGAUAUUGCAAUAAAUAAUUCUGACACUUUAGUUAACAGUUUAAUCAACUAAAAGAUAAAUUCCCGACAAAUGUGUUAAAUGACAAAUUUUAUUUUUCAUCAUAACCCACGUUUGAGUCUACAGGUGGUAGUUACAAUAUCUAAAGAGAAAUUUAUAUCAUAUGUCACUGGAUAAAACAAGAGGCAUGGUCUGACUUUGGGAAAGGCUGAAUAUAUAGCACAGACAGGCACUUUUUAAUGGGCUUUUGCAGGCCUCAAUAAUCAUUUUCCAAAUACAUUUGCAAUAAGUUUCAAAUAACACACUUCAAAUUAAAGAUCAUGUAGAUUCAAAUGUUUUACUACCAAUAUUUAUCCAUUUACAUACCAUAAAAUUGCAAAAUUGAACAUUCGUACAAAAGCAUUUUAAAAUGCCCCUGACUAAAAUAAUAUUUUCUGCAAAAAUACAA